This 76-nucleotide transfer RNA is filed under the name Candidatus Omnitrophota bacterium. RNAcentral describes it as "tRNA-Ala". It matches the Rfam family "tRNA". Rfam says of the family: Transfer RNA (tRNA) molecules are approximately 80 nucleotides in length. Lineage: Bacteria; Pseudomonadati; Candidatus Omnitrophota. The record is from RNAcentral.
GGGGCCGUAGCUCAGCUGGGAGAGCGCCUGCUUUGCAAGCAGGGGGUCAGGAGUUCGAUCCUCCUCGGCUCCACCA